RNAcentral lists this ribosomal RNA (301 nucleotides) under uncultured bacterium. RNAcentral describes it as "partial 16S ribosomal RNA". It matches the Rfam family "Bacterial small subunit ribosomal RNA", at positions 509 to 807 of the family's 1533-position model. The record is from RNAcentral.
CAGCAGCCACGGUAAUACGAAGGGGGCUAGCGUUGUUCGGAAUUACUGGGCGUAAAGCGCACGUAGGCGGAUAUUUAAGUCAGGGGUGAAAUCCCAGAGCUCAACUCUGGAACUGCCUUUGAUACUGGGUAUCUUGAGUAUGGAAGAGGCGAGUGGAAUUCCGAGUGUAGAGGUGAAAUUCGUAGAUAUUCGGAGGAACACCAGUGGCGAAGGCGGCUCACUGGUCCAUUACUGACGCUGAGGUGCGAAAGCGUGGGGAGCAAAUGGGAUUAGAUACCCGCGUAGUCCCUGUCUCUUAUAC